AUGCGAUAAGUAAUGUGAAUUGCAGAAUUCAGUGAAUCAUCGAAUCUUUGAACGCACAUUGCGCCCCCUGGUAUUCCGGGGGGCAUGCCUGUUCGAGCGUCAUUUCACCACUCAAGCCUCGCUUGGUAUUGGGCAACGCGGUCCGCCGCGUGCCUCAAAUCGUCCGGCUGGGUCUUCUGUCCCCUAAGCGUUGUGGAAACUAUUCGCUAAAGGGUGUUCGGGAGGCUACGCCGUAAAACAACCCCAUUUCUAAGGUUGACCUCGGAUCAGGUAGGGAUACCCGCUGAACUUAA
Molecule: unclassified non-coding RNA, 293 nt
Filed under: uncultured Mycosphaerella
Lineage: Eukaryota; Fungi; Ascomycota; Dothideomycetes; Mycosphaerellales; Mycosphaerellaceae
Description: partial contains 5.8S ribosomal RNA, internal transcribed spacer 2, and large subunit ribosomal RNA
Rfam family: 5.8S ribosomal RNA (bases 1-102)
Source: RNAcentral